GGGUGACUCCCUUGUUCUUAGGCUCUGGCUUACCGGAAACCCCUGUCCCAUUGACCACAGCAUGCGGACCAUACAGAGGGAAGGUAGCACUGUCUUAGGCCUGAAAGAAAUAGCUAGAGAAGAAACUGGCAGACCUGUUUGCCCUAAGCCAUAAAUGAUCAGACUGGUGGAUUUUGAGGUUUUUUGAGCAGAUGGUAGAAUGUAUGAACCAUGCAGAAAGUACAGAGAAAAGGUUGUUCUGAGGCAUGGCCCCUGCCAAUUUCCCUUUUUCUGAGCUCAAGAAUGUUUGCAGGUUCUUUGCAAAUGGCAGUUAUCCUGGGGUUUAACAUGAUCGUUUUCUUAUUUUCAGAUUGAUUUCGUCGCCCAUGACGAUAUCCCCUACUCUUCGGCAGGGAGCGACGAUGUGUAUAAGCACAUCAAGGAAGCAGGCAUGUUUGCUCCCACACAGAGGACAGAAGGCAUCUCCACAUCAGACAUCAUCACCCGCAUUGUCCGUGACUAUGAUGUGUAUGCAAGACGGAACCUGCAGAGAGGCUACACUGCCAAGGAGCUCAAUGUCAGCUUUAUCAACGUGAGUUGCAGCCUCCCCUCAUAGCUCCCUGCCUCUUUAGGCACACGUUGCUUCUCGUGCUGUCUGCCCUAGGCUGCUUUCCAGUGUGCUGUGCGGUUAUCACUCUCCAAAGCUAACUCAUGUCUCUUUUGAGAAGCAUCAUGCUGAGCACUUUACAAAGAGUAGAGCGCAAAGGGAGUUUCUGUCCUCAUGGUCUAAGUCAACAUAUUGAUACAAGGACAAUUAAACAAAGCCAGGCAUGGUAGUGGUACCUUUAACCCCAGCAUUCGGGAGGCAGAGGCAGGCAGAUUUCUGUGUGAGCCAGGCUAGCUCGGCUGCACAGUGAGAUCCUGUCUUUAAAAAAAGAAAGGAAAAAAAGAUAUACAAAUCGAUUUAACAAAUAGGCAUUUAACAAAUGCCUGCCUAUAGUCCCAGCACGGAUGCACCUGUUCCAGUGAAGGGACUGGAGACAAGGGGACCAGAAUGUUGGAGGCCAGUGUUAGGGACAUGACACUCUGUCUCAAAAAAAAAAAAAAGACAAAAGUAUAAAUUAUAUAGCACAUUAUAUCAAAGAGUGGUUCUUAACUGUGGUUGACUUUUGCUUUUUAUAAAAAAUUAUGUGAUCUUUUGAGCAUAAGAUGAAAACUACAGAUCUUUCCCUG
This 1212-nucleotide long non-coding RNA is filed under the name Rattus norvegicus (Norway rat). Its description in RNAcentral is "long non-coding RNA NONRATT031787". The record is from RNAcentral. Lineage: Eukaryota; Metazoa; Chordata; Mammalia; Rodentia; Muridae.